RNA transcript from Ananas comosus (pineapple), 607 nucleotides. RefSeq lists it as uncharacterized. NCBI's taxonomy places the organism in Eukaryota, Viridiplantae, Streptophyta, Magnoliopsida, Poales, Bromeliaceae. The transcript has 3 exons. The record is from RefSeq and is a predicted model, not a curated record.
AAAAGUAAACAUUCGCCGGUAGACCCGGUCCAUGCAAAUGUAGACUCGACACUCUUCGUACCACGCACCGGUGAAGAAGAAGACUCUUUCUAGGGUUUCUCUUGGGUUAAUAAAAUGGAAGCGUCGAAGCUCCUCAAGGAGAAGAGAUUCUGGAUCGCAUCCUUCCUCGUUGUGUGGGCCGCCGCUCUCCAGGGGCACAUGAUUUGGAUGCAGAAGCAAGACGCAUUCAAGCAGAAAUUUGGUGAUUUGAGCGAGGAAAAGGACGAGCGCGACUGAGGAUCCCGACCAAAAUCAGAUUUUUUUGUAGAUGUUCCCUGAUGAAUCCGAAUUGAUAGAGGAUUAUGUCUCAUCAUCAUCAUCAUCUGUGUUCUUCUUCUUCUUCUUCUUCUGAAGUAUUGCUGAGCAUUCAACUGUUGAGACUAAGCUACAACAUUUAUGCUGUUAUAUUACCUCUGUAGGAGAGAGAGAGAUUUCAAAGUAUAAGCAAUUGGCAUAUGGCUUCAUGUUUCAUAUGAAAAAAGAGGAUGUCACAUACUAUUUUCUUUGCAGUAACUUAACUUAAUGUUCCUUUUGUACCAUUGUGAUUAUAAUGUGGUUGAGAGCAAAA